AUUCGCGCCUCCCGGAAGGGAGAAAAGCCCGCCCGAGGCGCGGUGCUGACGGUGGCUGGGCUGCCGGGUGCGCUGUGGAACCGCCUCCUGCUAGAGCAGCGGGCUGGCGACGGUCCUCGCCGGGGCGGGAAGCGGCUCAGGCUGCCCUCGCUGGCCUGCGGCGGCGCGGCUGGAAGCGCGGGCCACUCGUGCGUGGGUCACUCAGGACUGCGCCUCGCGCGACUGUGUGUGCAGGAAACAAGCAGGAAAUACCCUAAAAGAGAAUGAAGCGCCAUGUUGAGGGUCGCGGACGUCGCGAGUGCUGUGGGAAUGUGGGCUGAGGUGGAGAGUUAUGGUAGCCCGUGUUACAGGCUCAGGGGUCUGAAAGAAGCCUAAUCGUGGAGGCGGCAUCUGAGGAGGGUCUUGAAGGCUGGGCAGGCAUUUGCCCGACAGAGAUGGAGGAAGCUAGUCCUGUCUGAUGGAGGAAACAGGGCGGAGGCGUGGAGGGAGCCGUGCAGCGCUGGUGUGAGGAGCAGCGAGCAGGCCAGGCCUGUAAAGCAGAGUGAGGGAACCAGGAUAGAGAAGGCAAGUCGGGGUCCUGUGGUCGCUGAAGAAUUUGAAUGAAAUCAGUAAACAGGUGAGAGGGAUCCAUCGCAAGAGCAUGGGAUGAAAGGAGGAGUAGUCCACGGUGAUUCCUCUGCAGCGGUGGGUGUUAUUAAUCGCGUAUGUGACACCAAAACCACCCCACUCAAGCUGUGGCUCUUUCCCUAAAGUAGAAAACCGAGACCAGUUGGGUUCCAAGCAUCCACGAAGAUCUUAUUAAAUUCGUGAUCCCUGGUGGCACCAUGGAGUCAGGAUUGGCUCAUCUCAAACCUGACUCAGAAACAAAACCGUCACAAUGUGCAGAGAUGAGCGUCCUUACCGCUAUCAACGUAUUUUCUGGUGUUUUCACAGUGCUGCGCUUCCUAAUCCCCAUUCCAUGGCAAUCCACAUGCCAUGAUGCCCGGAGUCAUUAACAAAGGAGACACACAGGGGCUCCUCACGUUGGCUUUCCAGGGUUUUGAUGAAAAUCUGUUUCCUCGUCUCAUACAAUGUGGCUGUACAGGAAGCAUGGUGAUGGCAUCUGCAUGGCGCCUGUGGAGGCCCCAGGGAGCUUUUACUCAUGAUGGAAGGCACAGAGGGAGUAGGCACAUCACAUGGUCCGAGGAGGAGCAAGAGAAAAUGGGAGUGGGGCUCUUUGUCCUGGGAAGAGUUUGCUGCAUCUUCCAGUUUCAGUAAUCAAAGAAGCAAAGUUCCCUGCAGUUCUUCAAGGAACCUUGAGAAUUCAGAAGGUCUUGGGGUGGCUGCAUCCAUCCUGCAGACAAAUGCCAAUCAGCAGAGGGGCCAUUCCCAGGGACACAUGUCUGGCUGACUUGGGCCUUGGCCAGGUAAGACACACAGCAUGCAUGCCUGCAUUUCUGAAUGCCAUAGACCUGACAAGUCAUAAAAUAGCAACCAAUAAUUUUAUGUUAGAGUGCUCCCUUCCUCACAGAAAUCUCAGCAUAUGUGAAGAUAGGUUGGAAUGUGUAAAGAAAAGCUAAGAAAGCAGAUUUCUGAUAAGAACAGCGUGUGACUUGUACAGCAGCUCUGAAUUACAGCCCGUAGGAUGGAAUGCUGACAGUUCCUUCUUCCUUACCUGUGAUGGCUAGAAUUUUAUUUAGCACAUCGUUUUUGAGCCAAUCUCAAAAUGAGAAAACUUUUGAGGAAUUAUGCAUAGUGUGAAGUAUAUUCUUUCCCUUGUUGCCCGUGGAGAUUCCACUGUGACAGGGCAGAUUUCCCACUGCAGGGUCGAUGGAGAUGCUGCUGCUGUCUUUGGACAUAAUAGUUUAUGACAAAGAGACCAAAAUAAUUCCUGUUUAGCCAUGCGGUUGUCUGUAAAUCUGCUUAGUUGGUCAUCCAAAGUGAUGACAUUUAAGAUAUAGUUGAUACACUGUUUAUCUUAAAGAAACAUUUUAAAAUUAAUUCUUCAGACCUAUGUAAUAUUUUAUCUUUUCUGUUUAAUAAUAUCCAAAUGUGCUUUUGUGAAGCACAAAACACAUGUGUAUUUCUUCAUAAAUCAGUCAGAUAGCUUUGAAAAUAUAUUUCAAGUAUGUAGCAAAGACCCUCAAAACACAAUUAUUGAAGCAUUAUAAAAAGGUGAAUUUGCUUCAGUUUUGGACUUUUAAUAGACUUCACUGUUAUGUAGUAAAGAUAGAAAUAUGCCAUAAAAGUCUCUGGUUAAGAGCCAAGACUUUUUCUCCUGUAUCAUUUCAGAUCCCGUCAUUUCUACCUGAUCUUUAGGAUAGACUAUGCACAUUCAGAGUGUUGAGUAAAAUUAUUAGAAAAUAUAAUACCCAUAACAUGGUUCUUUAUACCCUUUAAGUAAAUAUGUUGGCACAUGAAUUCACAAUUUAAAACGCUGACUUUGUAAGAAAUUUGCAUGUGUCUCCAGUGAAGAUAUUGUUGCCCUUGUGUUCUUUGUGCGUGAUUUAUGACAAAAUUAUGAGACCUUUACAUUUGUGGAAAUAAAACACGUAAAGUUAAAAAAAAAAAAAAAAAAAAAA
Molecule: long non-coding RNA, 2561 nt
Filed under: Homo sapiens (human)
Lineage: Eukaryota; Metazoa; Chordata; Mammalia; Primates; Hominidae
Description: FRG1 divergent transcript (FRG1-DT)
Source: RNAcentral